UGGGGAAUAUUGGACAAUGGGCGAAAGCCUGAUCCAGCAUGCCGCGUGUGUGAAGAAGGCCUUUUGGUUGUAAAGCACUUUAAGUGGGGAGGAAAAGCUUAUGGUUAAUACCCAUAAGCCCUGACGUUACCCACAGAAUAAGCACCGGCUAACUCUGUGCCAGCAGCCGCGGUAAUACAGAGGGUGCAAGCGUUAAUCGGAAUUACUGGGCGUAAAGCGCGCGUAGGUGGUUAUUUAAGUCAGAUGUGAAAGCCCCGGGCUUAACCUGGGAACUGCAUCUGAUACUGGAUAACUAGAGUAGGUGAGAGGGGAGUAGAAUUCCAGGUGUAGCGGUGAAAUGCGUAGAGAUCUGGAGGAAUACCGAUGGCGAAGGCAGCUCCCUGGCAUCAUACUGACACUGAGGUGCGAAAGCGUGGGUAGCAAACAGGAUUAGAUACCCUGGUAGUCCACGCCGUAAACGAUGUCUACCAGUCGUUGGGUCUUUUAAAGACUUAGUGACGCAGUUAACGCAAUAAGUAGACCGCCUGGGGAGUACGGCCGCAAGGUUA
This 548-nucleotide ribosomal RNA is filed under the name uncultured bacterium. Its description in RNAcentral is "bacterial SSU rRNA". It matches the Rfam family "Bacterial small subunit ribosomal RNA", at positions 355 to 896 of the family's 1533-position model. The record is from RNAcentral.